Molecule: long non-coding RNA, 575 nt
Organism: Camelus dromedarius (Arabian camel)
Lineage: Eukaryota; Metazoa; Chordata; Mammalia; Artiodactyla; Camelidae
Exons: 3
Source: RefSeq, a predicted model, not a curated record
GAGACGUGUGAACUGGUGUGUGGGUGGCCUCUGAGCUGCGGUGGCUCAGGGUUUGUCUUGUGGGGAGGAGUCCCGAGGUGGAACGUGACAGACCGACUUGGGGCCUCUGUCAAUUACAAUUGUUAAUUGUAAUCGGGCAAUUACAGCACAAGUGAUAAUCUCCGAGAUGCGGGAUGUAGGAGCAGCGUGUAAGGGCCUGGAGGACGAGGUUUCGGAGCCAAAACAUUGAGGUGUGGCUUAGGACCAGGCCGUGGGGCGACGUGUUUAAAGCCUGGGGCCUCGAGAGCUCGAGUCCCCAGUGAGCAGGGCUGCCGCUAUGAAAGGACUCUCGAGUCGCACAGAGGAGGCGUACAAAAAAUGCAUCAACAACUACCAUCUGCUUACAGCCCCUUCAGACUUGUACUAUUGCAAGAGAGGGUGCGCCCACACUCGUCUGGACCGCUCCAUCUGUUCAGAAGGCUUCCUAAAGAGUCAGAGAAACACAAGCGUCCCUGCCUCUCCUGCCGUAGUCUUUAUCAGUUCUAAAACAAGGGAUUACUCAAAUCUUCCAAACAUCUAAUUCUGCUGUCACUACA